RNAcentral lists this ribosomal RNA (667 nucleotides) under Fictibacillus barbaricus. RNAcentral's name for it is "bacterial SSU rRNA". It matches the Rfam family "Bacterial small subunit ribosomal RNA", at positions 51 to 702 of the family's 1533-position model. Lineage: Bacteria; Bacillati; Bacillota; Bacilli; Caryophanales; Fictibacillaceae. The record is from RNAcentral.
AUACAUGCAGUCGAGCGAAUGAAGAGGAGCUUGCUCCUCUGAUUUAGCGGCGGACGGGUGAGUAACACGUGGGUAAUCUGCCUGUAAGACGGGGAUAACUCCGGGAAACCGGGGCUAAUACCGGAUAAUAAGAAGAAACGCAUGUUUCUUUUUUGAAAGUCGGUUUCGGCUGACACUUACAGAUGAGCCCGCGGCGCAUUAGCUAGUUGGUGAGGUAACGGCUCACCAAGGCGACGAUGCGUAGCCGACCUGAGAGGGUGAUCGGCCACACUGGGACUGAGACACGGCCCAGACUCCUACGGGAGGCAGCAGUAGGGAAUCUUCGGCAAUGGGCGAAAGCCUGACCGAGCAACGCCGCGUGAGCGAUGAAGGCCUUCGGGUCGUAAAGCUCUGUUGUUAGAGAAGAACAAGUACGAGAGUAACUGCUCGUACCUUGACGGUACCUAACCAGAAAGCCACGGCUAACUACGUGCCAGCAGCCGCGGUAAUACGUAGGUGGCAAGCGUUAUCCGGAAUUAUUGGGCGUAAAGCGCGCGCAGGCGGUCUCUUAAGUCUGAUGUGAAAGCCCACGGCUCAACCGUGGAGGGUCAUUGGAAACUGGGAGACUUGAGUGCAGGAGAGAAAAGUGGAAUUCCACGUGUAGCGGUGAAAUGCGUAGAGAUGUGGA